GACGAACGCUGGCGGCGUGCUUAACACAUGCAAGUCGAACGGAAAGACCCUGCUUUUGUGGGGUGCUCGAGUGGCGAACGGGUGAGUAACACGUGAGUAACCUGCCCUUGACUUUGGGAUAACUUCAGGAAACUGGGGCUAAUACCGGAUAGGAGCUCCUGCUGCAUGGUGGGGGUUGGAAAGUUUCGGCGGUUGGGGAUGGACUCGCGGCUUAUCAGCUUGUUGGUGGGGUAGUGGCUUACCAAGGCUUUGACGGGUAGCCGGCCUGAGAGGGUGACCGGCCACAUUGGGACUGGGAUCCGGCCCAGACUCCUACGGGAGGCAGCAGGGGGGAAUAUUGCACAAUGGGCGGAAGCCUGAUGCAGCAACGCCGCGUGCGGGAUGACGGCCUUCGGGUUGUAAACCGCUUUCGCCUGUGACGAAGCGUGAGUGACGGUAAUGGGUAAAGAAGCACCGGCUAACUACG
RNAcentral lists this ribosomal RNA (466 nucleotides) under uncultured bacterium. RNAcentral describes it as "partial 16S ribosomal RNA". It matches the Rfam family "Bacterial small subunit ribosomal RNA", at positions 28 to 505 of the family's 1533-position model. The record is from RNAcentral.